GAGGAACGGAAAAUGGGCUCCAGUGCCUAACGACUUCCAGAAUGAGAGAAAAGGAAACUCGCUGUUAAAUCAGAAUGCUCCCAGACCAGGGGAGAUGAGGAGGGAGCAGUGGUCACUGGAGGUCGGAGUUAACGAAACAGCCCUCUUCUUUGCUGAAAAUCUCAGUAGAAAUUCACUCUUCUGUGAAGUGUACUAUCCCAGCAGAAGACA
Molecule: long non-coding RNA, 210 nt
Filed under: Calidris pugnax (ruff)
Lineage: Eukaryota; Metazoa; Chordata; Aves; Charadriiformes; Scolopacidae
Description: lncRNA (ENSCPUG00000009329.1)
Source: RNAcentral